RNAcentral lists this ribosomal RNA (467 nucleotides) under uncultured bacterium. Its description in RNAcentral is "partial 16S ribosomal RNA". It matches the Rfam family "Bacterial small subunit ribosomal RNA", at positions 28 to 507 of the family's 1533-position model. The record is from RNAcentral.
GACGAACGCUGGCGGCGUGCUUAACACAUGCAAGUCGAACGGAAAGGCCUCUUUCGGGGGGUACUCGAGUGGCGAACGGGUGAGUAACACGUGAGUAACCUGCCCUUGACUUUGGGAUAACUUCAGGAAACUGGGGCUAAUACCGGAUAGGAGCUCCUGCUGCAUGGUGGGGGUUGGAAAGUUUCGGCGGUUGGGGAUGGACUCGCGGCUUAUCAGCUUGUUGGUGGGGUAGUGGCUUACCAAGGCUUUGACGGGUAGCCGGCCUGAGAGGGUGACCGGCCACAUUGGGACUGAGAUACGGCCCAGACUCCUACGGGAGGCAGCAGUGGGGAAUAUUGCACAAGGGGUGGAAGCCUGAUGCAGCAACGCCGGGUGCGGGAUGACGGCCUUCGGGUUGUAAACCGCUUUCGCUCAUGACGAAGCUUUGUGUGACGGUAGUGGGUAAAGAAGCACCGGCUAACUACGUG